Molecule: ribosomal RNA, 253 nt
Filed under: uncultured bacterium
Lineage: Bacteria
Description: partial 16S ribosomal RNA
Rfam family: Bacterial small subunit ribosomal RNA
Source: RNAcentral
UACGGGGGGGGUAAGCGUUGUUCGGAAUUACUGGGCGUAAAGGGCGCGUAGGCGGCCUUCUAAGUCGAACGUGAAAUCCCCGGGCUCAACCCGGGAACUGCGUCCGAUACUGGAAGGCUUGAAUCCGGGAGAGGGAUGUGGAAUUCCAGGUGUAGCGGUGAAAUGCGUAGAUAUCUGGAGGAACACCGGUGGCGAAGGCGACAUCCUGGACCGGUAUUGACGCUGAGGCGCGAAAGCCAGGGGAGCAAACAGG